UGCUAAAAUGGUAGGCAGGCCGGUGGGAGU
Molecule: non-coding RNA, 30 nt
Filed under: Macaca fascicularis (crab-eating macaque)
Lineage: Eukaryota; Metazoa; Chordata; Mammalia; Primates; Cercopithecidae
Also listed under: 1 other name
Source: RNAcentral